GAUGAACGCUGGCGGCGUGCCUAAUACAUGCAAGUCGAGCGAACAGAUAAGGAGCUUGCUCCUUUGACGUUAGCGGCGGACGGGUGAGUAACACGUGGGUAACCUACCUAUAAGACUGGAAUAACUCCGGGAAACCGGGGCUAAUGCCGGAUAACAUUUAGAACCGCAUGGUUCUAAAGUGAAAGAUGGUUUUGCUAUCACUUAUAGAUGGACCCGCGCCGUAUUAGCUAGUUGGUAAGGUAACGGCUUACCAAGGCAACGAUACGUAGCCGACCUGAGAGGGUGAUCGGCCACACUGGAACUGAGACACGGUCCAGACUCCUACGGGAGGCAGCAGUAGGGAAUCUUCCGCAAUGGGCGAAAGCCUGACGGAGCAACGCCGCGUGAGUGAUGAAGGUCUUCGGAUCGUAAAACUCUGUUAUUAGGGAAGAACAAAUGUGUAAGUAACUGUGCACGUCUUGACGGUACCGAAGCAGAAAGCCACGGCUAACUACGU
Molecule: ribosomal RNA, 496 nt
Filed under: uncultured bacterium
Lineage: Bacteria
Description: partial 16S ribosomal RNA
Rfam family: Bacterial small subunit ribosomal RNA
Source: RNAcentral